RNAcentral lists this ribosomal RNA (243 nucleotides) under uncultured bacterium. Its description in RNAcentral is "partial 16S ribosomal RNA". It matches the Rfam family "Bacterial small subunit ribosomal RNA", at positions 111 to 354 of the family's 1533-position model. The record is from RNAcentral.
UAACGCGUGAGGAACCUGCCUUCCAGAGGGGGACAACAGUUGGAAACGACUGCUAAUACCGCAUGACACAUUUGAAUCGCAUGGUUUGAAUGUCAAAGAUUUAUCGCUGGAAGAUGGCCUCGCGUCUGAUUAGCUAGUAGGCGGGGUAACGGCCCACCUAGGCGACGAUCAGUAGCCGGACUGAGAGGUUGACCGGCCACAUUGGGACUGAGAUACGGCCCAGACUCCUACGGAAGGCAGCAG